GAUGAAGAACGUAGCGAAAUGCGAUAAGUAAUGUGAAUUGCAGAAUUCAGUGAAUCAUCGAAUCUUUGAACGCACAUUGCGCCCGCCAGUAUUCUGGCGGGCAUGCCUGUUCGAGCGUCAUUACAACCCUCAGGCCCCCGGGCCUGGCGUUGGGGAUCGGCGGAAGCCCCCUGCGGGCACAACGCCGUCCCCCAAAUACAGUGGCGGUCCAGCCGCAGCUUCCAUUGCGUAGUAGCUAACACCUCGCAACUGGAGAGCGGCGCGGCCACGCCGUAAAACACCCAACUUCUGAAUGUUGACCUCGAAUCAGGUAGGAAUACCCGCUGAACUUAAGCAUAUCAAUAAGCGGAGGA
Molecule: unclassified non-coding RNA, 353 nt
Filed under: soil metagenome
Description: partial contains 5.8S ribosomal RNA, internal transcribed spacer 2, and large subunit ribosomal RNA
Rfam family: 5.8S ribosomal RNA (bases 1-120)
Source: RNAcentral